This 275-nucleotide long non-coding RNA is filed under the name Mytilus galloprovincialis (Mediterranean mussel). The record is from RNAcentral. Lineage: Eukaryota; Metazoa; Mollusca; Bivalvia; Mytilida; Mytilidae.
UUUUUUACAAAGAUUACAAAUUCUAUCCAUUGCCUGAAGUCCCCUGUAUCUACCUCUCUCUAUUUCUAAAUCAUGAUUACUAAUUCUGAAUUUUGUCAUCUGAAUUCUCAGAUUCCUAUUACCUAUAGCCAAAUAAGGUUCAAAAUAUAUAUUUCUCUUAAAAAGUCUGUAUGUUUUGAGUUUAUUUCCAAAUGACAUAUUUUUUCUGUCAUCGUUUAAAGAUGAAUACCACAACUUAUUAUACUUUAAUUUAAGUUUGUGUAAAAUAAAUCUUU